CCUACGGGUGGCAGCAGUGAGGAAUAUUGGUCAAUGGGCGCGAGCCUGAACCAGCCAAGUAGCGUGAAGGAUGACUGCCCUACGGGUUGUAAACUUCUUUUAUAUGGGAAUAAAAUGUUCCACGUGUGGGAUUUUGUAUGUACCAUAUGAAUAAGGAUCGGCUAACUCCGUGCCAGCAGCCGCGGUAAUACGGAGGAUCCGAGCGUUAUCCGGAUUUAUUAGGUUUAAAGGGAGCGUAGGUGGAUUGUUAAGUCAGUUGUGAAAGUUUGCGGCUCAACCGUAGAAUUGCAGUUGAAACUGGCAGUCUUGAGUACAGGAGAGGUGGGCGGAAUUCGUAGUGUAGCGGUGAAAUGCUUAGAUAUCACGAAGAACUCCGAUUGCGAAGGCAGCUCACUGGACUGCAACUGACACUGAGGCUCGAAAGUGUGGGUAUCAAACAGGAUUAGAUACCCUUGUAGUC
RNAcentral lists this ribosomal RNA (460 nucleotides) under uncultured bacterium. RNAcentral's name for it is "partial 16S ribosomal RNA". It matches the Rfam family "Bacterial small subunit ribosomal RNA", at positions 338 to 795 of the family's 1533-position model. The record is from RNAcentral.